UACAGAGGUCUCAAGCGUUGUUCGGAUUCAUUGGGCGUAAAGGGUGUGUAGGUGGCGCGCUAAGUCGGGUGUGAAAUUUCGGAGCUUAACUCCGAAACUGCAUUCGAUACUGGCGUGCUUGAGGACUGGAGAGGAGACUGGAAUUUACGGUGUAGCAGUGAAAUGCGUAGAUAUCGUAAGGAAGACCGGUGGCGAAGGCGGGUCUCUGGACAGUUCCUGACACUGAGACACGAAGGCCAGGGGAGCAAACGGG
This 253-nucleotide ribosomal RNA is filed under the name uncultured bacterium. RNAcentral describes it as "partial 16S ribosomal RNA". It matches the Rfam family "Bacterial small subunit ribosomal RNA", at positions 524 to 776 of the family's 1533-position model. The record is from RNAcentral.